RNAcentral lists this ribosomal RNA (1071 nucleotides) under Thermoanaerobacterium thermosaccharolyticum. Its description in RNAcentral is "partial 23S ribosomal RNA". It matches the Rfam family "Bacterial large subunit ribosomal RNA", at positions 1583 to 2670 of the family's 2925-position model. The record is from RNAcentral. Lineage: Bacteria; Bacillati; Bacillota; Clostridia; Thermoanaerobacterales; Thermoanaerobacteraceae.
AAGGCGAAGUUUCGAAGGGGCUGCCAAGAAAAGUUGCUAUCGAGGAUAGAGGUGCCCGUACCAGAAACCGACACAGGUAGGCGAGGAGAGAAUCCAAAGACGAGCGGGAGAACCCUCAUUAAGGAACUCGGCAAAAAGACUCCGUAACUUCGGGAGAAGGAGUGCCGAAAGGCCGCAGAGAAGAGGCCCAAGCGACUGUUUACCAAAAACACAGGUUUCUGCUAAGUCGAAAGACGAAGUAUAGGAGCUGACGCCUGCCCGGUGCUGGAAGGUUAAGGGGAAGGGUCAGGAGGAAAUCCAAAGCUCUGAACUUAAGCCCCAGUAAACGGCGGCCGUAACUAUAACGGUCCUAAGGUAGCGAAAUUCCUUGUCGGGUAAGUUCCGACCUGCACGAAAGGCGUAACGACUUGGGCGCUGUCUUGAUGGGGGACCCGGUGAAAUUGUAGUACUCGUGAAGAUGCGAGUUACCCGCGACAGGACAGAAAGACCCCAUGGAGCUUUACUGCAGCUUGUCACUGAAUUUUAGUAAUAUCUGUACAGGAUAGGUGGGAGGCUAAGAAAGAUGGGCGCAAGCCUAUCUGGAGCCGACGUUGGGAUACCACCCUGAUAUUACCGAAAUUCUAACAUAGGAGCCGUAAGCCGGCAUAUGGACACUGACAGGCGGGCAGUUUGACUGGGGCGGUCGCCUCCCAAAGAGUAACGGAGGCGUCCAAAGGUUACCUCAGCGCGGAAGGAAAUCGCGCGUAAGAGUGCAAAGGCAGAAGGUAGCCUAACUGCGAGAAAGACAAUUCGAGCAGGGACGAAAGUCGGGCUUAGUGAUCCGGCGGUAGAGAAUGGGAUUGCCGUCGCUCAACGGAUAAAAGCUACCCUGGGGAUAACAGGCUGAUCUCCCCCAAGAGUCCACAUCGACGGGGAGGUUUGGCACCUCGAUGUCGGCUCAUCGCAUCCUGGGGCUGAAGUAGGUCCCAAGGGUUGGGCUGUUCGCCCAUUAAAGCGGUACGCGAGCUGGGUUCAGAACGUCGUGAGACAGUUCGGUCCCUAUCCGUCGCGGGCGUAGGAAAUUUGAGAGGA